Molecule: ribosomal RNA, 265 nt
Filed under: uncultured bacterium
Lineage: Bacteria
Description: partial 16S ribosomal RNA
Rfam family: Bacterial small subunit ribosomal RNA
Source: RNAcentral
GUCCACGCCCUAAACGAUGUCUACUAGUUGUUGGUGGAGUAAAAUCCAUGAGUAACGCAGCUAACGCGUGAAGUAGACCGCCUGGGGAGUACGGUCGCAAGAUUAAAACUCAAAUGAAUUGACGGGGGCCCGCACAAGCGGUGGAUUAUGUGGAUUAAUUCGAUGCAACGCGAAAACCUUACCUGGCCUUGACAUGUACGGAACUUUCCAGAGAUGGAUUGGUGCUCGAAAGAGAACCGUAACACAGGUGCUGCAUGGCUGUCGU